Molecule: long non-coding RNA, 240 nt
Filed under: Phoenix dactylifera (date palm)
Lineage: Eukaryota; Viridiplantae; Streptophyta; Magnoliopsida; Arecales; Arecaceae
Description: long non-coding RNA (PDAC_LNC015601)
Source: RNAcentral
UCAGCUAUGUUGGGAGUCCUCUCAGUGGAUAUUUCAGGUUAUGAUUAAUUGGAUUUUGACCAAAAUUUAAUGAAAGAGGAUUGAUCAUGGAAUAUUAUCAUACAAUGUAAUUAUUUGUUUAUUAGUCAAUUUGGAAGUUCAUUUUGAUAUGGGGGUAUAUUGUAAUAUUACUUCUAGCUUGAAGUUAAUCAUUUUGUGGCAAGUUAGGAUCUCUUCAUAAGAAAUUGUUUAAGAUUUAAG